RNAcentral lists this long non-coding RNA (548 nucleotides) under Homo sapiens (human). Its description in RNAcentral is "non-protein coding LINC00158:8". Lineage: Eukaryota; Metazoa; Chordata; Mammalia; Primates; Hominidae. The record is from RNAcentral.
GGACCUCCUCUGUUGAUAAGCUAGUGGGGACUUGAGGAGUGAGGCUGGAAGUCCAGCCUCCCUGCCAACACCUCAGGGAUGAAGGAGAAAAACAAGGAGAGAAAAAUCUAAACCCAGCAGAAGAGAAAGUUUAAGAAAGCGGUCGUCGCCAAUACCAAAAUUAGCUAUGAUAUUCAGGAAGAAAAAAAUGGAAACACGAUAACCACAGUCAAUAAAGACCAAGGCCACAUUCCAUUGACCAGAGCUCAGCCACGCGCCACACCUGGCUAAAGAGACUCUGGCUGAAGAAUUCCCUGAAUAUUUUAAUGUAGCUCUAGGUUAUAACACAGAACAACCACAAGGUGGCAGAAGAACUCCAUUCUUGUAAAUCUCUUAGUUGCUUCUUUAUUUCAUCUUCCCUAUUCCAUCUAAUGUUCCCUGAAUUUUACUAUUUUGUUGGUUUGAAAAUAUGUGUGACUUACGUCCUUUAAAGGAUUUGGUUCGUAAGGUUUUGAAUAGACUGGAAUAUAAAACAUUUAUAGAAAAGAAAAAUACCUACAGUAUGAUGU